This is a long non-coding RNA of Populus nigra (black poplar), 601 nucleotides long. RefSeq lists it as uncharacterized. The transcript is spliced from 2 exons. The record is from RefSeq and is a predicted model, not a curated record. Lineage: Eukaryota; Viridiplantae; Streptophyta; Magnoliopsida; Malpighiales; Salicaceae.
UCCAGUAUCCACUCAAAAAAAAUGAGGGGAAGAAUGAGUCCUUUUAUAUUAUAUAAUCCAAGUGUAGUCUCCCAUUCAGAAUUCAAUAUUGCCACAUAGAGUUGGUGAAACAGACAUGCCAUGACUAGAGGUCUGAGAGUUAGGAUCAAUCAAGCUCUACUACGAUUUUAGGACUGAGAGUUACACGCACAUCCAGGCCAAAAGCUCAAGAUUAUUGAUCAGAUUCAUGAAGAUCUAUCCAUCAUUAUUGGUAAGCUAACAUCUUGUGAUCCUCUCUUGAUGCAUCCAUCUUUAUCAACACAAAGAAGGCGAUGCAAAAUGAGCGGUGGGAGCCUUGUUUCUUUGCUCAUCUCAGCAGAGAAUGAGAAUGCUUGAGUAAGUUGUUGAAAGAUUUGGUCUCUUGGGCCUUACACACCAAAUUCUUUACUCCUACUGCCAUCUGUUUUCCAUGCAAUUCAUGUCAUUAGUAGCUUGUAUUUGACAUUAUAGAUUGGCAAUAUUGAACAUUACAAGCAAUGAACAACUUAAACCUUUCCCAGACUUGUAUAUAUAGGGAACUGCUCUUUGCUAUCCAAGAGUAGUUGGAGGUGAUUUUCGGCUA